RNAcentral lists this ribosomal RNA (444 nucleotides) under uncultured bacterium. RNAcentral describes it as "SSU rRNA". It matches the Rfam family "Bacterial small subunit ribosomal RNA", at positions 26 to 518 of the family's 1533-position model. The record is from RNAcentral.
AGAACGAACGCUGGCGGCAGGCUUAACACAUGCAAGUCGAACGCUCCGCAAGGGGAGUGGCAGACGGGUGAGUAACGCGCGGGAAUCUACCCAAUACUACGGAAUAGCUCCGGGAAACUGGAAUUAAUACCGUAUGUGCCCUACGGGGGAAAGAUUUAUCGGUAUUGGAUGAGCCCGCGUUGGAUUAGCUAGUUGGUGAGGUAACGGCCCACCAAGGCGACGAUCCAUAGCUGGUCUGAGAGGAUGAUCAGCCACACUGGGACUGAGACACGGCCCAGACUCCUACGGGAGGCAGCAGUGGGGAAUAUUGGACAAUGGGCGCAAGCCUGAUCCAGCCAUGCCGCGUGAGUGAUGAAGGCCUUAGGGUUGUAAAGCUCUUUCAGUGGGGAAGAUAAUGACGGUACCCACAGAAGAAGCCCCGGCUAACUUCGUGCCAGCAGCCGC